UACAGAGGGUGCGAGCGUUGUUCGGAAUUAUUGGGCGUAAAGGGCGCGUAGGCGGUGUUGUAAGUCACCUGUGAAACCUCCGGGCUUAACUCAGAGCCUGCAGGCGAAACUGCAAUGCUGGAGGGUGGGAGAGGUGCGUGGAAUUCCCGGUGUAGCGGUGAAAUGCGUAGAUAUUAGGAGGAACACCGGUGGCGAAGGCGGCUAUCUGGACAACAACUGACGCUGAGGCGCGAAAGCGCGGGGAUCAAACAGG
RNAcentral lists this ribosomal RNA (253 nucleotides) under uncultured prokaryote. Its description in RNAcentral is "partial 16S ribosomal RNA". It matches the Rfam family "Bacterial small subunit ribosomal RNA", at positions 524 to 776 of the family's 1533-position model. The record is from RNAcentral.